This 55-nucleotide small nuclear RNA is filed under the name Salmo trutta (river trout). RNAcentral describes it as "U7 small nuclear RNA (ENSSTUG00000017053.1)". The stretch from base 11 to 55 matches the Rfam family "U7 small nuclear RNA", at positions 13 to 62 of the family's 62-position model. Rfam says of the family: Animal histone pre-mRNAs are spliced by a different mechanism than nuclear pre-mRNAs and self-splicing introns. This processing involves the U7 snRNP, which contains only one RNA species: U7. The record is from Rfam by way of RNAcentral. Lineage: Eukaryota; Metazoa; Chordata; Actinopteri; Salmoniformes; Salmonidae.
AAGGCUUGUUUCUUUUAGUAUUUGUCUAGUAGGUUUCAUCAAAGAAGAAGCCCCC